Molecule: ribosomal RNA, 406 nt
Filed under: uncultured bacterium
Lineage: Bacteria
Description: partial 16S ribosomal RNA
Rfam family: Bacterial small subunit ribosomal RNA
Source: RNAcentral
AUUGAACGCUGGCGGCAGGCCUAACACAUGCAAGUCGAGCGAGCGGCGGACGGGUGAGUAAUGUCUGGGAAACUGCCUGGUGGAGGGGGAUAACUACUGGAAACGGUAGCUAAUACCGCAUACCCUCAGAUGUGCCCAGAUGGGUGUAGCUUGUAGGUGGGGUAACGGCUCACCUAGGCGACGCUCCCUAGCUGGUCUGAGAGGAUGACCAGCCACACUGUAACUGAGACACGGUCCAGACUCCUACGGGAGGCAGCAGUGGGGAAUAUUGCACAAUGGGCGCAAGCCUGAUGCAGCCAUGCGGCGUGUGUGAAGAAGGCCUUCGGGUUGUAAAGCACUUUCAGCGGGGAGGCGUUACCCGAAGAAUAAGCACCGGCGAACUACGUGCCAGCAGCCGCGGUAAUUC